RNAcentral lists this ribosomal RNA (507 nucleotides) under uncultured bacterium. Its description in RNAcentral is "partial 16S ribosomal RNA". It matches the Rfam family "Bacterial small subunit ribosomal RNA", at positions 29 to 507 of the family's 1533-position model. The record is from RNAcentral.
ACGAACGCUGGCGGCGUGCCUAAUACAUGCAAGUCGAACGCUUCUUUCCUCCCGAGUGCUUGCACUCAAUUGGAAAGAGGAGUGGCGGACGGGUGAGUAACACGUGGGUAACCUACCCAUCAGAGGGGGAUAACACUUGGAAACAGGUGCUAAUACCGCAUAACAGUUUAUGCCGCAUGGCAUAAGAGUGAAAGGCGCUUUCGGGUGUCGCUGAUGGAUGGGCCCGCGGUGCAUUAGCUAGUUGGUGAGGUAACGGCUCACCAAGGCCACGAUGCAUAGCCGACCUGAGAGGGUGAUCGGCCACACUGGGACUGAGACACGGCCCAGACUCCUACGGGAGGCAGCAGUAGGGAAUCUUCGGCAAUGGACGAAAGUCUGACCGAGCAACGCCGCGUGAGUGAAGAAGGUUUUCGGAUCGUAAAACUCUGUUGUUAGAGAAGAACAAGGACGUUAGUAACUGAACGUCCCCUGACGGUAUCUAACCAGAAAGCCACGGCUAACUACGUG